AAAUCCCAAAUUUUGGGUGAGAAUUCCCAAAUUUUGGGUGAGAAUUCCCAAAAUUUCCACGCCGGCUCUCGGCAAGGCUUCACUGCGGCUCUGCCGUACACCUUGCGAAGAGGGGGCCUAAAGCAGGGCUCAGGUCCAGGUAAAACUUGGAAAUUUCCGGGGUUUUUGGGGUUUUUGGGAUGGUUUUGGGGUUCAGCUCGGAAUUCCGGGGUUAAAUCCCAAAUUUGGGGUUUUUUCCGGAAUUUUUUAUCAUUUUUCCAGUCAUUUUUGCAACAAUUCCCAGGUCAGGUUUGUCGCAAAUUAUUGCUGUUUUUUCCCAAAUUUUGGUGUUUUAUCCCCAAAUUUUGGGGUUUUCCACAUUUCUGGGAUGGUUUCUGGGAUGUUUAUCCCAAAAUUCCGGGGUUAAAUCCCAAAUUUUGGGUGAGAAUUCCCAAAAUUUCCACGCCGGCUCUCGGCAAGGCUUCACUGCGGCUCUGCCGUACACCUUGCGAAGAGGGGGCCUAAAGCAGGGCUCAGGUCCAGGUAAAACUUGGAAAUUCCGGGGUUUUUGGGGUUUUUGG
Cyanistes caeruleus (blue tit) is the source of this 560-nucleotide non-coding RNA. The record is from RefSeq and is a predicted model, not a curated record. NCBI's taxonomy places the organism in Eukaryota, Metazoa, Chordata, Aves, Passeriformes, Paridae.